CUAAGAAACUACUCACUGUCCACAGUGUUCUUACAGCCUACCAGGAACAUCUCUUACAAAGGGCUGUGAAACGCAGUUUCUUGGCAGGCCUGAUCUGGCUGAAGUAGAACUUCUGCUCUGGGUGUGCUACAUUGCCCUAGAGCUGCAAUGCACAACGUGCAGGCUUCUUUCCAAAGGGCGAGUUGGGCCCUACAGCAUCUUGCUUCCAGCACUUUGGGAAGCUAAGAAACAACUCGCUCUGCACAGUGCUCUUACAGCCUACCGGGAACAACUCUUCCAAAGGCCUGUGAAACGCAGUUUCUUUGCAGGCCUGAUCUGGCUGAAGUAGGACUUCUGCUCUGGGUGUGCCACAUUGCCCUAGAGCUUAAAGGCACAACGUGCAGUCUUCUUUCCAAAGGGCGAGUUGGGCCCCACAGCAUCUUGCUUCCAGCUCUUUGGGAAGCUAAGAAACAACUCGCUCUGCACAGUGCUCUUACAGCCUACCGGGAACAUCUCUUCCAAAGGCCUGUGAAACGCAGUUUCUUUGCAGGCCUGAUCUGUCUGAAGUAGGACUUCUGCUCUGGGUGUGCUACAUUGCCCUAGAGCUGAAAGGCACAACGUGCAGGCUUCUUUCCAAAGGGCGAGUUGGGACCCACAGCAUCUUGCUUCCAGCUCUUUGGGAAGCUAAGAAACAACUCGCUCUGCACAGUGCUCUUACAGCCUACCGGGAACAUCUCUUCCAAAGGCCUGUGAAACGCAGUCUCUUUGCAGGCCUGAUCUGGCUGAAGUAGGACUUCUGCUCUGGGUGUGCUACAUUGCCCUAGAGCUGAAACGCACAACGUGCAGGCAUCUUUCCAAAGGGCGAGUUGGGCCCCACAGCAUCUUGCUUCCAUCUCUUUGGGAAGCUAGAAACAACUCGCUCUGCACGUGCUUCUUACAGACUACAGGGAACAUCUCUUCCAAAGGCCUGUGAAACGCAGUUUCUUUGCAGGCCUGAUCUGGCUGAAGUAGGACUUCUGCUCUGGGUGUGCUACUUUGCCCUAGAGCUGAAAGGCACAACGUGCAGGCUUCUUUCCAAAGGGCGAGUUGGGCCCCACAGCAUCUUGCUUCCAGCUCUUUGGGAAGCUAAGAAACAACUCGCUCUGCACAGUGCUCUUACAGCCUACCGGGAACAUCUCUUCCAAAGGCCUGUGAAACGCAGUUUCUUUGCAGGCCUGAUCUGGCUGAAGUAGGACUUCUGCUCUGGGUGAGAUGUUCCCGGUAGGCUGUAAGGGCACUGUGGAGAGCAAGUUGUUUCUUAGCUUCCCAAAGAGCUGCAAGCAAG
This 1303-nucleotide long non-coding RNA is filed under the name Equus caballus (horse). RNAcentral's name for it is "lncRNA (ENSECAG00000059421.1)". Lineage: Eukaryota; Metazoa; Chordata; Mammalia; Perissodactyla; Equidae. The record is from RNAcentral.